RNAcentral lists this ribosomal RNA (497 nucleotides) under uncultured bacterium. Its description in RNAcentral is "partial 16S ribosomal RNA". It matches the Rfam family "Bacterial small subunit ribosomal RNA", at positions 28 to 507 of the family's 1533-position model. The record is from RNAcentral.
GAUGAACGCUGGCGGCGUGCCUAAUACAUGCGAGUCGAGCGAACAGACGAGGAGCUUGCUCCUUUGACGUUAGCGGCGGACGGGUGAGUAACACGUGGAUAACCUACCUAUAAGACUGGGAUAACUUCGGGAAACCGGAGCUAAUACCGGAUAAUAUAUUGAACCGCAUGGUUCAAUAGUGAAAGACGGUUUUGCUGUCACUUAUAGAUGGAUCCGCGCCGCAUUAGCUAGUUGGUAAGGUAACGGCUUACCAAGGCAACGAUGCGUAGCCGACCUGAGAGGGUGAUCGGCCACACUGGAACUGAGACACGGUCCAGACUCCUACGGGAGGCAGCAGUAGGGAAUCUUCCGCAAUGGGCGAAAGCCUGACGGAGCAACGCCGCGUGAGUGAUGAAGGUCUUCGGAUCGUAAAACUCUGUUAUUAGGGAAGAACAAAUGUGUAAGUAACUAUGCACGUCUUGACGGUACCUAAUCAGAAAGCCACGGCUAACUACGUG